RNAcentral lists this ribosomal RNA (372 nucleotides) under uncultured bacterium. RNAcentral describes it as "bacterial SSU rRNA". It matches the Rfam family "Bacterial small subunit ribosomal RNA", at positions 527 to 896 of the family's 1533-position model. The record is from RNAcentral.
GUAGGGUGCAAGCGUUGUCCGGAAUUAUUGGGCGUAAAGAGCUCGUAGGCGGUCUGUCACGUCGGACGUGAAAAUCCAGGGCUCAACCCUGGACCUGCGUUCGAUACGGGCAGACUAGAGUUCGGUAGGGGAGACUGGAAUUCCUGGUGUAGCGGUGAAAUGCGCAGAUAUCAGGAGGAACACCGGUGGCGAAGGCGGGUCUCUGGGCCGAAACUGACGCUGAGGAGCGAAAGCGUGGGGAGCAAACAGGAUUAGAUACCCUGGUAGUCCACGCCGUAAACGUUGGGCGCUAGGUGUGGGGAACCUUCCACGUUCUCCGUGCCGCAGCUAACGCAUUAAGCGCCCCGCCUGGGGAGUACGGCCGCAAGGCUA